This is a long non-coding RNA of Rhipicephalus sanguineus (brown dog tick), 1310 nucleotides long. RefSeq lists it as uncharacterized. The transcript is spliced from 5 exons. Lineage: Eukaryota; Metazoa; Arthropoda; Arachnida; Ixodida; Ixodidae. The record is from RefSeq and is a predicted model, not a curated record.
CCUGUUAUUCGUGACCUUCAGCAAAACAAACGACUCAAAAUUGAACCUCCACAGUUUUAAAUACUUCAAAGAUUACAAAUGUCCAUGAAAUAACAUUUCGUGUUUUUCUGGUUUCUCCCACAAUGCUAUUUUGAUUGAUUAAUAUUCAGAACCUUUUCUGCGGUUCUACGUUCGUGCCUCGCGGGCCCCUACAUUUACAAGAUGGCUACUGUGGCUACCGCUCACGUCGAAGCGCGGCUACGCAUGACUGCAGUGUAAAGCGCGGCUACGGCACCCUCCUGCUCCUGCUUUUUGUGCGUCUGUCAUUGAAAGCGAUGUAUGUCUGCAGUCUCUGUGCCACCAAGACGUCUGUGCCACGUUUCAUGAAGUAUGCCGCACUGCACAAAAACAUGAAUGCAUUCUGCAUGAAGUGCCCAUUGGAACAGCACAGAAAAGUGUUCCGAGAGUUCCUUCUCUGAGCUAGUGGUACGACAUACCGAGGACGAAAAUAGGACUGUAAAGAAAACGAAGAGUCCAAAAGGAUUUAUAUGGUUGUGCGUCAUGGUAGCCCAAAUUACCUGCACUAAGACACAACAUAUUGGAUCACACUAAGUUGGCACUGAUGCUAUAGUGCCCUAAGGUGGUGCUGCAUCUCGAGCUACCAGAAGGCAAGUACAACUGAAGAUAACGUCGCAGACGUGCCGUGCUCCCCUUUCAUCAUUGCAAAAGGACAGAACUUUCUUACUGCCGGGGCAUUUACCAUCUGUAUUGAUACCCAUGGUGUGAUCGAAUCCACCACACGGUGCCAGGCAUUCAAGUUGAUGCUCUUUACACACUUCGCCUUUACUAUUGAAUACCGCAAGGAGGUCAGCCUAACCCUGGUGUUCACCCAAAGGGCAGCCGCAGCAGUCAUCCCUGACAGAGGGAGCAAGGUCGAGAAGUCAAGGAAGCAGCGCCGCCUCACACCACAAAUGACCAACUUAAUCAAAGCUCUGCGAGACUAUGAAUGCUAAGUGUUACAACGAAAAAAUUGCAGUGUCAUUAUGAAUAUACCGUAUUUACUCGUAUCUAAGCCGGUGUUUUUUUUUUUUCGAAAAAAAAAAAAACGAUGUGCGAAAGGGGGGGGGGGUCGGCUUAGAUUCGAGUACAUGCAAUGAUUAAGUUUUUUUUUUUUUCUGGCCUUGUGAAUUUCGAGAGUCGGCUUAUAAUCAGGACCGGCCUAGAUUCGAGUAAAUACGGUAUAUCUGCACAUUUUCCAAACCAGUUUUAAUCUACGGUGACAACAUGUACGCAGUUUUCAUUAUUUUGAAGCUGUUUACAUGCAGCAUUUC